This 203-nucleotide long non-coding RNA is filed under the name Carica papaya (papaya). Its description in RNAcentral is "long non-coding RNA (CPAP_LNC005012)". The record is from RNAcentral. Lineage: Eukaryota; Viridiplantae; Streptophyta; Magnoliopsida; Brassicales; Caricaceae.
UUGGGAAGCCUUAUGGGUCGCAAAGGCAAUCGAUCCAAAUAAGCAUAAAUGACAAUGAGUUGUGGGCUUUCAAAUUGAUCCUAAAAGAUAAUGGUGGCGUGUUCGAGAUGACACAUGGAGGGGAGGUACCUUCGGGUGGGAGACUCAAGUCACCCGACCUGUUAGGCCUAACCCAAGGCCUAGCACGUUGUGCACCCAAGAAG